AAGCUCCAAUCUAUUACAGAAACAAUCUGGCCAUGCUGCAGCGAUUCAAACAACAAUAAUGAAAGUGAAGAAUUUGCAAAAAGAGAAAAGCAAUGAGUGAAGGUUCAAUAGCAGGUUUCAGAUGGAGAUUUGUGAAAAAAAAAGUUUUACCUUUUGGAGGACAUGAUGUAACCUCUCCCACUGGUUUGUUGAGAUGCUUUAUAUAAACAUGAGUAUUGUUUGAACAGAGGGCAACGACUACAAGAAAAACGAAACAAAUGUCAAAGCACAUAAGCAGUUGCAGAUUUAAAGAAACAUGUUAAAGCCAUAUGUAAACAAGACAUUCAGAUUAAAUCAAACACGUAGUACAAAGAAAUUGGGAAUUACUUAUAGUUGCCACAGUUCCCAUAGGCUGGCAUGGACUAGCUCAAAAAGUGAAGUGAAACUGACAAGGAAGACUUGUUGAUUUCGGGGAAGACCAGCACUAGAAUCAGAUUGUCCAUUAUAUGUCAAGCGUUAUCUUUUUUGUUCCGAAUCUUCUUCUUCAUUCUUCAAACCAUCAACGAGACUCAAAAGAAACCGUACACCUGUUUCACAGAAACCCAUAAAAAUACAAACUUUAAAUCAACUCGGAACUGUAACAAGGAAGAUUUAUCAUAAGAAUUAGACUCAAAUCACGGACCUAGUUGUUAGGGCACUCAAAUAGUAGAAAAAAACAUGUAAAAACAAAAGAUUCUCACACCAAAAUCGUUUCAGUAACUCAGUGAAAUAUCAAAAUCGAUUCAUAGAUUCAGAAGAAGGCGAACAAGGAAUACCUCUGCUUUGUUCCCUCGUCGCCAUUAGAACAAGCUCUCUCUGUCUCUGAGGAUUCUUUCUCUUGGUUGUUGCUCUCGUCGCCAUUACAAUUUUGUUUUUCUCUUCGUGAAGGAGUUGUGUCAGCAAGUGAAUAUGAGACCUCACUCUUCUUAUAUAGAGGACCCAUUAAAAAUACAGGAAAAAGAACAAAUCAUAUUUUUCGG
RNAcentral lists this long non-coding RNA (998 nucleotides) under Capsella grandiflora. RNAcentral's name for it is "long non-coding RNA (CGRA_LNC001570)". Lineage: Eukaryota; Viridiplantae; Streptophyta; Magnoliopsida; Brassicales; Brassicaceae. The record is from RNAcentral.